RNAcentral lists this ribosomal RNA (229 nucleotides) under uncultured soil bacterium. RNAcentral describes it as "partial 16S ribosomal RNA". It matches the Rfam family "Bacterial small subunit ribosomal RNA", at positions 25 to 279 of the family's 1533-position model. The record is from RNAcentral.
CAGAGCGAACGCUGGCGGCAGGCCUAAUACAUGCAAGUCGAACGAACACUUCGGUGUUAGUGGCGCACGGGUGCGUAACGCGUGGGAAUCUGCCCUUGGGUUCGGAAUAACAGUUGGAAACGACUGUCUAAGUACCGGAUGAUAUCGAAAGAUCAAAGAUUUAUCGCCCAGGGAUGAGCCCGCGUAGGAUUAGCUAGUUGGUGAGGUAAAGGCUCGACCAAGGCGACGA